GCCUGGGUGGCUCAGUCGGUAGAGUGUCUGACUUCAGCUCAGGUCAUGAUCUCGCGGUUCGUGAGUUCGAGCCCCGCGUUGGGCU
This 85-nucleotide transfer RNA is filed under the name Felis catus (domestic cat). It matches the Rfam family "tRNA". From Rfam's summary of the family: Transfer RNA (tRNA) molecules are approximately 80 nucleotides in length. Their secondary structure includes four short double-helical elements and three loops (D, anti-codon, and T loops). Further hydrogen bonds mediate the characteristic L-shaped molecular structure. tRNAs have two regions of fundamental functional importance: the anti-codon, which is responsible for specific mRNA codon recognition, and the 3' end, to which the tRNAs corresponding amino acid is attached (by aminoacyl-tRNA synthetases). tRNAs cope with the degeneracy of the genetic code in two manners: having more than one tRNA (with a specific anti-codon) for a particular amino acid; and 'wobble' base-pairing, i.e. permitting non-standard base-pairing at the 3rd anti-codon position. Lineage: Eukaryota; Metazoa; Chordata; Mammalia; Carnivora; Felidae. The record is from Rfam by way of RNAcentral.